Molecule: ribosomal RNA, 253 nt
Filed under: uncultured bacterium
Lineage: Bacteria
Description: partial 16S ribosomal RNA
Rfam family: Bacterial small subunit ribosomal RNA
Source: RNAcentral
UACGAAGGGGGCUAGCGUUGUUCGGAAUUACUGGGCGUAAAGCGUGCGCAGGCGGCUAUGCAAGACAGAUGUGAAAUCCCCGGGCUCAACCUGGGAACUGCAUUUGUGACUGCAUGGCUAGAGUACGGCAGAGGGGGAUGGAAUUCCGCGUGUAGCAGUGAAAUGCGUAGAUAUGCGGAGGAACACCGAUGGCGAAGGCAAUCCCCUGGGCCUGUACUGACGCUCAUGCACGAAAGCGUGGGGAGCAAACAGG